GCCUCGGUAGUGUAAUGGAUCAGCACGGCAGACCGGAUAUCUGUAAGUACGGGUUCAAAUCCCAACUGAGGUC
Molecule: non-coding RNA, 73 nt
Organism: Dictyocaulus viviparus (bovine lungworm)
Lineage: Eukaryota; Metazoa; Nematoda; Chromadorea; Rhabditida; Metastrongylidae
Source: Rfam